Molecule: microRNA, 17 nt
Filed under: Corchorus capsularis
Lineage: Eukaryota; Viridiplantae; Streptophyta; Magnoliopsida; Malvales; Malvaceae
Description: sRNA CCACVL1_29943
Source: RNAcentral
UGCAGUUUCCUCCCUCC